Molecule: ribosomal RNA, 220 nt
Filed under: uncultured Glomus
Lineage: Eukaryota; Fungi; Glomeromycota; Glomeromycetes; Glomerales; Glomeraceae
Description: partial small subunit ribosomal RNA
Rfam family: Eukaryotic small subunit ribosomal RNA
Source: RNAcentral
CCAAUAGCGUAUAUUAAAGUUGUUGCAGUUAAAAAGCUCGUAGUUGAAUUUCGAGAUCAAUUUGUUGGUCGUGCCUCGGUACGUACUGGCAAUUUUGAUUUCUCCCUUCUGAAGAACCAUGAUGUCAUUAAUUUGGUGUCAUGGGGAAUCAGGACUGUUACUUUGAAAAAAUUAGAGUGUUUAAAGCAGGCUCGCGCUUGAAUACAUUAGCAUGGAAUAA